This 723-nucleotide ribosomal RNA is filed under the name Shewanella baltica. RNAcentral describes it as "bacterial SSU rRNA". It matches the Rfam family "Bacterial small subunit ribosomal RNA", at positions 56 to 766 of the family's 1533-position model. The record is from RNAcentral. Lineage: Bacteria; Pseudomonadati; Pseudomonadota; Gammaproteobacteria; Alteromonadales; Shewanellaceae.
UGCAAGUCGAGCGGCAGCGGGAAGAUAGCUUGCUAUCUUUGCCGGCGAGCGGCGGACGGGUGAGUAAUGCCUAGGGAUCUGCCCAGUCGAGGGGGAUAACAGUUGGAAACGACUGCUAAUACCGCAUACGCCCUACGGGGGAAAGGAGGGGACCUUCGGGCCUUCCGCGAUUGGAUGAACCUAGGUGGGAUUAGCUAGUUGGUGAGGUAAUGGCUCACCAAGGCGACGAUCCCUAGCUGUUCUGAGAGGAUGAUCAGCCACACUGGGACUGAGACACGGCCCAGACUCCUACGGGAGGCAGCAGUGGGGAAUAUUGCACAAUGGGGGAAACCCUGAUGCAGCCAUGCCGCGUGUGUGAAGAAGGCCUUCGGGUUGUAAAGCACUUUCAGUAGGGAGGAAAGGUAGCAGCUUAAUACGCUGUUGCUGUGACGUUACCUACAGAAGAAGGACCGGCUAACUCCGUGCCAGCAGCCGCGGUAAUACGGAGGGUCCGAGCGUUAAUCGGAAUUACUGGGCGUAAAGCGUGCGCAGGCGGUUUGUUAAGCGAGAUGUGAAAGCCCCGGGCUCAACCUGGGAAUUGCAUUUCGAACUGGCGAACUAGAGUCUUGUAGAGGGGGGUAGAAUUCCAGGUGUAGCGGUGAAAUGCGUAGAGAUCUGGAGGAAUACCGGUGGCGAAGGCGGCCCCCUGGACAAAGACUGACGCUCAGGCACGAAAGCGUGGGG